GGCACAUGAGGAGUUUGUGGUGAAUGCAUCAGUGGGAGGAAGAAAGGCAUGAAAUGAAGAAUCGACAUGAUUGUGGUGCCUGGAGCCAGAGAGUUAGCUGCUGGUUCCAGCUCUGGUAUUAACUGAGGGUGUGAUCUGAGAGGAGAAAGCUGAAGCACCAGACGGUUAAAAGGACUGUUCAAGAGAGCCUCGCAAUUUUGACCAAGGAAGAAAGCUGAAGGGUGCUAGAGCAAGAGAGGAACUAUGUCCAGAACAAUUCAUAAUUCCAAAUUCUCACUUCCAUGAUUUCAAUGCUGAAUGUGUACUUCUCUAGCUAAAAAUACAAUUGCUUAAGUAAAAUCAUCAUUAUUUACAGUCUU
Pan troglodytes (chimpanzee) is the source of this 359-nucleotide long non-coding RNA. RefSeq lists it as uncharacterized. The transcript is spliced from 2 exons. The record is from RefSeq and is a predicted model, not a curated record. Lineage: Eukaryota; Metazoa; Chordata; Mammalia; Primates; Hominidae.